CCGAAGGUGAGCACACCAUCUUGUUCGCCUCGUCGAUAUCGUUCCAUUUUGCCAUUCAUGCGCGAGAUCGGACUUCGUUUCCGGCUUUCCCAUCUUCCUCUCUCUUUCUUCUUUCUUCUGUUCCUGUGCACAACCGUAACAGACCGAGCUUCUGGUUCUGUUGCUGCCGCGCGCCGCAUGCAGCUGCCCGCCGCCGCCUGCAGCUGCCCGCCGCCGCUACCGCGUGCUGCACGCCUAGCGCCGUCGCCCCC
This 251-nucleotide long non-coding RNA is filed under the name Setaria italica (foxtail millet). RNAcentral's name for it is "long non-coding RNA (SITA_LNC006700)". Lineage: Eukaryota; Viridiplantae; Streptophyta; Magnoliopsida; Poales; Poaceae. The record is from RNAcentral.